UGAGAGGAAGGUCCCCCACAUUGGAACUGAGACACGGUCCAAACUCCUACGGGAGGCAGCUGUGAGGAAUAUUGGUCAAUGGGCGAGAGCCUGAACCAGCCAAGUAGCGUGAAGGAUGAAGGCUCUAUGGGUCGUAAACUUCUUUUAUAUGGGAAUAAAGUUUUCCACGUGUGGAAUUUUGUAUGUACCAUAUGAAUAAGGAUCGGCUAA
Molecule: ribosomal RNA, 210 nt
Filed under: uncultured Bacteroidota bacterium
Lineage: Bacteria; Pseudomonadati; Bacteroidota
Description: uncultured Bacteroidetes bacterium partial 16S ribosomal RNA
Rfam family: Bacterial small subunit ribosomal RNA
Source: RNAcentral